Molecule: non-coding RNA, 29 nt
Filed under: Rattus norvegicus (Norway rat)
Lineage: Eukaryota; Metazoa; Chordata; Mammalia; Rodentia; Muridae
Source: RNAcentral
UCGCUCAGACCUUGUAUUCAACGUUGAGA